This 462-nucleotide ribosomal RNA is filed under the name uncultured bacterium. RNAcentral's name for it is "partial 16S ribosomal RNA". It matches the Rfam family "Bacterial small subunit ribosomal RNA", at positions 28 to 507 of the family's 1533-position model. The record is from RNAcentral.
GACGAACGCUGGCGGCGUGCUUAACACAUGCAAGUCGAGCGGAAAGGCCCUUCGGGGUACUCGAGCGGCGAACGGGUGAGUAACACGUGAGUAACCUGCCCCAGACUUUGGGAUAACCCUCGGAAACGGGGGCUAAUACCGGAUACGACACAGCUUCGCAUGGGGUCUGUGUGGAAAGUUUUUCGGUUUGGGAUGGGCUCGCGGCCUAUCAGCUUGUUGGUGGGGUGAUGGCCUACCAAGGCGACGACGGGUAGCCGGCCUGAGAGGGCGACCGGCCACACUGGGACUGAGACACGGCCCAGACUCCUACGGGAGGCAGCAGUGGGGAAUAUUGCACAAUGGGCGGAAGCCUGAUGCAGCGACGCCGCGUGAGGGAUGACGGCCUUCGGGUUGUAAACCUCUUUCAGCAGGGACGAAGCGUAAGAGACGGUACCUGCAGAAGAAGCGCCGGCCAACUACGUG